GAAGAGGGCGACGAAGCGAGGGCUGAAGUCAUCCCUGAAAACGGUGAAGGCCAGGCAGGUCUCCGUCACGGCGUACCACGACCGCUCGAGACAUGAUCAAACCUCUUUCUGGGGUGAUUUCUGAGCCCGGCAGGAAAACAAGACCCUAAAACUAAUGAUGCCGCCAACAACUUGAUUUUAUUUAAUCUGCUAACAAUUCCUAGCCCAGCCUAUCAGCGACGCCUCCUCCGCCGCUCCACGACUCUCAUUGGCUAGCACCGCCUAGCGUCCCGCCUCCCCGCCUUUGACAGGCAGCGGCGGGUUAGGCAGGGGGAAGGGGUGGCGGCCUCUUCCUUCUCCGCCUUCUGAUUGGCUGGCGCCGCGGGCGCGCUGCCUAUAGAAGACGACGCCCGCGGGAAGGGCGGGGUCAACUUGGUUCCUUGCACGCGCCGUCGCUCCUCGCGGGCUCCGCUCAGGUGAGAGGAAAAUGGCGGGAAAAGGGGUUGGGUGCAGCGAGGCGUCGUCGUUGCUCCCUGAGGUGAUUUCUUCGUUUCCUCCAAUUUGUGAGGGGAAAACGGGGGUGCCAUGAGGUAAACUUACCCCCUUCCACCCUGGUUGCUGAGGGGAGACCAAGCCCUGGCGCUGUGAGGUGAAAACCAGGUUGUAAAUCCUUUUAUAUUCCCUUUUCUACUUCAUAUUCGAGGGAACAAUGUGGCACGGUGCUUUAUAUCCGUUGCGGUGAGGGAAGAGGGUUUUUAGGGGAAUAUGGAGGGGGAAAAUUAAAUCUCUCGGGGCUCUGCUGUCCCCAUGUACUAUGUCCUUUUGAUAAUACCUUGGGAUCAAAGGAGAGGAGGCAAGUACAGCCCUUUAAGUAUUCUUCUGUUUGCUUGGAAAACUCUCUGAGGAGGGAGAAAGAGGAGAAUUAUGCACCUUUUACUUCAUUUAAGGCAGACUUUGGUGUCCCUGAGCACAAGUAAACUGUUUUGAACAGGAGGAUGCACUAAUAUGGGAGUAAAAAUGCUCUUUUCUAACCAAGUGUGGUGGUUUGUGAGGGAACUACCACAAUGUCUUCAUGUCCUGAGGAGGUGGCAAGCCAUGUCUUGGUGGCUGGGUGAUGGUAAUACUACCAAAGCGCCUGAAAUGAGAAAUAUAAAAGGGUUUUUAUUAUUUCAUUGAUAGUUUUCAGGGUAGUUGUUGAGCAGCUGUGAGGGCGAGAUGUGUCCCCUCUUGCUGUGGUGCUGGUUGGUUUGGGGUUGGGUCCUGGGGAGCGGUAAUAAAUCCUGUAAAAACAAGGUGGGUUUUGUUCUUUUAUUGAAAACAAAUGUGACUUUAUAUUUUGGAGAGUAAACAUGUUGCCUUUAUUAUUCCUUUGGUUGAGACAAGAGCUAGUCUAACCCAAAAUUGUUGUAUUUAUUGGUUUUUUUAUUCUUUUCAGCAUCUGAUCCCUGUAGCUGGUAUAA
Aquila chrysaetos chrysaetos is the source of this 1439-nucleotide RNA transcript. RefSeq lists it as uncharacterized. The transcript has 3 exons. The record is from RefSeq and is a predicted model, not a curated record. Lineage: Eukaryota; Metazoa; Chordata; Aves; Accipitriformes; Accipitridae.